RNAcentral lists this long non-coding RNA (213 nucleotides) under Elaeis guineensis (African oil palm). RNAcentral's name for it is "long non-coding RNA (EGUI_LNC010739)". The record is from RNAcentral. Lineage: Eukaryota; Viridiplantae; Streptophyta; Magnoliopsida; Arecales; Arecaceae.
GGGCAUAGAUAUCUCAUGGUGAAAGGAGUGGAGGUGUGGGAAAUUAAUAGCAUAUGGGGUUUGUUAGUUGGUUAAGUCCUAUUCCAAAUAGCUAGGACUCAUGAUUGAUCAAACUCUAACUAAUUCUUAGAUCCAAUCCUAAUCAACUUAAAAAUUAGUUAUAACAAACUAACUAAUUAAGUCUUAGCCUAAUUAGAAAAUCAAUUAGGCCCU